Molecule: ribosomal RNA, 611 nt
Filed under: uncultured bacterium
Lineage: Bacteria
Description: bacterial SSU rRNA
Rfam family: Bacterial small subunit ribosomal RNA
Source: RNAcentral
GCGCGCGGCGGGCGGGGCGGGGGCACGGGGGGCCUACGGGAGGCAGCAGUGAGGAAUAUUGGACAAUGGGCGGGAGCCUGAUCCAGCCAUGCCGCGUGCAGGAAGACUGCCCUAUGGGUUGUAAACUGCUUUUAUACAGGAAGAAUAAGCCUUACGUGUAAGGUGAUGACGGUACUGUAAGAAUAAGGACCGGCUAACUCCGUGCCAGCAGCCGCGGUAAUACGGAGGGUCCGAGCGUUAUCCGGAAUUAUUGGGUUUAAAGGGUCCGUAGGCGGAUGAUUAAGUCAGGGGUGAAAGUUUGCAGCUCAACUGUAAAAUUGCCUUUGAUACUGGUUAUCUUGAGUUGUAUUGAAGUAGGCGGAAUAUGUAGUGUAGCGGUGAAAUGCAUAGAUAUUACAUAGAACACCAAUUGCGAAGGCAGCUUACUAAGUACUAACUGACGCUGAUGGACGAAAGCGUGGGUAGCGAACAGGAYUAGAUACCCUGGUAGUCCACGCCGUAAACGAUGGAUACUAGCUGUUCGGGACCUUGAGUUCUGAGCGGCUAAGCGAAAGUGAUAAKUUCCCACCUGGGGAGUACGUUCGCAAGAAUGAUACUCAAUGAAUUGACGG